GGAGGGUACAGCUCAGUGGUAGAGUGCAUGUUCAGCAUGCACGAGGUCCUGAGUUCAAUUCCCAGUCCCUCCA
Non-coding RNA from Camelus ferus (Wild Bactrian camel), 73 nucleotides. The record is from Rfam. Lineage: Eukaryota; Metazoa; Chordata; Mammalia; Artiodactyla; Camelidae.